AGCGAACGCUGGCGGCAGGCCUAACACAUGCAAGUCGAACGAGACCUUCGUGUCUGGUUGCUCACGGGUGCGUAACGCGUGGGAACCUGCCCUUAGACUCCGGAUAACACCCCUAAGGGGGGGCUAAUAUCGGGUAAUUUCUGCUGACCACAGAUUUAUCGCCUUUGUAUGAGCCGGCGUUGUUUUGACUAGUUGGUAUGGUAAAAGCCUACCAAGGCUACGAUACAUAGCGGGUCUGAGAGGAUGAUCAGCCACACUGGGACUGAGACACGGCGCAGACUCCUACGGGAGGCAGCAGUGCGGAAUACUGGACAACCGGGGAAAGCAAGAUCCAGCACUGCUGCGUGAGUGAUGAAGGCGUUAGGGUUGUAAAGCUCUUUUACCCCCGAUGAUAAUGACAGUACCGGGAGAAUAAGCACCGGCUAACUCCGUG
Molecule: ribosomal RNA, 433 nt
Filed under: uncultured bacterium
Lineage: Bacteria
Description: partial 16S ribosomal RNA
Rfam family: Bacterial small subunit ribosomal RNA
Source: RNAcentral